AAGCAAAGAGAAAUGCACAAGCGGAGACAUACAUAAUGGCUUACACAAGGGUAAGCAAUAGCCGAAGUGAAAGAAUACUAAACUACACAAGUAUAAAGGUUAACUUUAAACCCUUUACAAGCAUUCAAACUUUACAUUCACAAUUCUUUUACCAUAUACAUGCUUUUCAUCAUUUCUUUCUUUACAACACAAUUUCAUCCAAAAUGGGCUUUUACAUUUAACAUCUAUGA
This 230-nucleotide long non-coding RNA is filed under the name Ananas comosus (pineapple). Its description in RNAcentral is "long non-coding RNA (ACOM_LNC005386)". Lineage: Eukaryota; Viridiplantae; Streptophyta; Magnoliopsida; Poales; Bromeliaceae. The record is from RNAcentral.